Molecule: ribosomal RNA, 253 nt
Filed under: uncultured bacterium
Lineage: Bacteria
Description: partial 16S ribosomal RNA
Rfam family: Bacterial small subunit ribosomal RNA
Source: RNAcentral
UACGUAGGGUGCAAGCGUUGUCCGGAAUUAUUGGGCGUAAAGAGCUCGUAGGCGGUUUGUCGCGUCUGCUGUGAAAACCCGAGGCUCAACCUCGGGCCUGCAGUGGGUACGAGCAGACUAGAGUGCGGUAGGGGAGAUUGGAAUUCCUGGUGUAGCGGUGGAAUGCGCAGAUAUCAGGAGGAACACCAAUGGCGAAGGCAGAUCUCUGGGCCGUAACUGACGCUGAGGAGCGAAAGCAUGGGGAGCGAACAGG